CUUUGGGGUGUGACUGCGUACCUUUUGUAUAAUGGGUCAGCGACUUAUAUUCUGUAGCAAGGUUAACCGUAUAGGGGAGCCGUAGGGAAACCGAGUCUUAACCGGGCGUUAAGUUGCAGGGUAUAGACCCGAAACCCGGUGAUCUAGCCAUGGGCAGGUUGAAGGUUGGGUAACACUAACUGGAGGACCGAACCGACUAAUGUUGAAAAAUUAGCGGAUGACCUGUGGCUGGGGGUGAAAGGCCAAUCAAACCGGGAGAUAGCUGGUUCUCCCCGAAAGCUAUUUAGGUAGCGCCUCGUGAAUUCAUCUCCGGGGGUAGAGCACUGUUUCGGCUAGGGGGCCAUCCCGGCUUACCAACCCGAUGCAAACUGCGAAUACCGGAGAAUGUUAUCACGGGAGACACACGGCGGGUGCUAACGUCCGUCGUGAAGAGGGAAACAACCCAGACCGCCAGCUAAGGUCCCAAAGUCAUGGUUAAGUGGGAAACGAUGUGGGAAGGCCCAGACAGCCAGGAUGUUGGCUUAGAAGCAGCCAUCAUUUAAAGAAAGCGUAAUAGCUCACUGGUCGAGUCGGCCUGCGCGGAAGAUGUAACGGGGCUAAACCAUGCACCGAAGCUGCGGCAGCGACACUGUGUGUUGUUGGGUAGGGGAGCGUUCUGUAAGCCUGUGAAGGUGUGUCGUGAGGCAUGCUGGAGGUAUCAGAAGUGCGAAUGCUGACAUAAGUAACGAUAAAGCGGGUGAAAAGCCCGCUCGCCGGAAGACCAAGGGUUCCUGUCCAACGUUAAUCGGGGCAGGGUGAGUCGACCCCUAAGGCGAGGCCGAAAGGCGUAGUCGAUGGGAAACGGGUUAAUAUUCCCGUACUUGGUGUUACUGCGAAGGGGGGACGGAGAAGGCUAUGUUGGCCGGGCGACGGUUGUCCCGGUUUAAGCGUGUAGGCUGGUUUUCCAGGCAAAUCCGGAAAAUCAAGGCUGAGGCGUGACGACGAGGCACUACGGUGCUGAAGCAACAAAUGCCCUGCUUCCAGGAAAAGCCUCUAAGCAUCAGGUAACACGAAAUCGUACCCCAAACCGACACAGGUGGUCAGGUAGAGAAUACCAAGGCGCUUGAGAGAACUCGGGUGAAGGAACUAGGCAAAAUGGUGCCGUAACUUCGGGAGAAGGCACGCUGACA
Molecule: ribosomal RNA, 1169 nt
Filed under: Salmonella enterica
Lineage: Bacteria; Pseudomonadati; Pseudomonadota; Gammaproteobacteria; Enterobacterales; Enterobacteriaceae
Description: partial 23S ribosomal RNA
Rfam family: Bacterial large subunit ribosomal RNA
Source: RNAcentral